GGGAUUGGGGAGCUUUUCAACUGCAAAUCAAUGGAUAAAUGAACCGAUACCCGAGGUUUCCACCUCUCCGUCUCAGUCUCUUUGCUCUCAAACUUCCACCUCUGGUUCCUGUCUUACGCUAUCCAAUUUUAAUUGCCUCGACGACGAUGAUUUCUUCAACUUCUCUCCCAAUUUCCCAGGUUUCGAGUCUAACCGAAUUGAUGUUUUUCAAUUUGACUCGAAACCUCAAUUUAUCAAUCUAACCGCUCCUAAGCCCUUUGAAUUUACACCUCAAAUCACUGAACUUUCAGCUGUAAAACCUCCAACUCCUUCGAGUUCGAGUUCCAGCUCUCAUAAUCGAAAACCGUCGCUCAAAAUAUCGUUACCGCAUAAAGUAGAGUGGAUUCAAUUCCGCAAACCGGAUUCAACUAAGGCACAGCCGACGAAUUCAAAUUCCGAAGACAAAAAUAAGCAUUACAGAGGUGUCCGACAGAGACCGUGGGGGAAGUUUGCAGCCGAGAUCCGCGAUCCGAACCGAAGAGGUUCACGGAUCUGGUUGGGAACCUUUGAUACCGCAAUAGAAGCCGCAAAGGCUUACGACCGAGCCGCUUUUAAGCUACGUGGCUCGAAAGCGAUUCUUAACUUCCCUCUCGAAGCCGGGAAGCUGGAUGUAACCGCCGUCGACGGAGAGAGGAAACGGAGCAGAGACGACGGCGCUGGGAAUGAGAAACAAGUUAAGGCCGUGAAGAGAGCAAAUGAUGACGUGACUAAAGCGAGAGAUAACGGCGAUGCGCCUUUAACGCCGUCAAAUUGGACAUCAUUUUUGGAUAACAUGCCAUUGUUAUCGCCGUUAUCUCCGCACCCGCCGUUAGGCUUUCAACAAGUUAAAGUCAUCUAAUGAUACUGUAUAUAAAUUCUUUUAUUUGUUUUUAGAAUUCUGGAAUUCUCUUCUUUCAAAAGAAAAAAAAAAUUGGGAUUCUCUAAAGUAGUAUCAACCUAAUUAUCCCUAAACUUUCGAUAACUCAAUUUUCAAAAACUUACAUAAUAAUCACUAAUAUUAUCGAAUUAUUAAUGUUAACUACGCGUCAAUUAACUUUCGUUAAUAACACUAAUUAAUAAUUUAGUCAUUAAACUAUAACUCAAAUAUCAAUUUGAUAUUUAAUUUUUUUUGCUAAUAUAUAUUAAAAAUAAAUAAAACUUAUUAAAGACUUUCUCCAUAUCAUCACUGUUCUGGCUUAUUUUUAAUUUCUGGAUUUUCAUCAUCUUGAAAUCAACCAUCAUCACUUAAGCUACACAAAUCUACCUCGAUCGCCAUUAAAGCCCAAAGGAAAUAAACCGUAAACAAAAGAAACCAAUGUACUAAAAAUAAAUGAAGAAUCGAAUUAUAGGGGGAAAAAAAAGACUAAAUAGGGUUUUGGCUCAGACUAUGUUAAAUUUACUUUGAAGGUCUCAAAUGGAAUUUAGGAUGGGUAAAUCUAGACCAAAAACCUUUAAUGGAUCAAAUGGAUCGGAAUCGGAAGAGGAGGAUGAUUUGAUUGCAGCUGAGGUGGUUGAGGAGGAGGAGGAAGAUGUAGUAAAAGUUGGGAUUAUCAAAAUAUUUGUAAAUUUCUCAUCAAAAUUUCAUAUCUUAUAGGUUUUUGUUUAACAAUUUUUUUAAAUAUCAAAAUAAUAUUUUAGUUAUAGUUUAGGGACUAAAUUAACUAUUAAUUUUUUAAAUUAACAUGUCAAGUAAUCUUUUUAAAAGAAAUUAGCGGAUAAAUGACUUCAACAACGUCAGUGACUGUUAUGUAAUUUUUGAAAGUUGGGUAUAUUAAAAUAUAAUUUUAAGUAAAAUUAAGAAAUAAUUAAUAAAAUCUAUUAUUUUAUUAUCAAUGAUUGCUUUACGACACAGCUUACGUGCAAAAUUAAAACCUUAUCAACCAAUUUAUUUUUUCUUUUGAUUUGUUUUGUAAUAUGUUUUUUAUCAACCAAUUUCUGAAGACAACGUAUGUAAUAAAAAAUCAUUGCCAAUCUCUUACUUUCGUUAUAAGAAAACUCUUUUCAUUAAUUUUUUGUGUUUUACUUGUGUAUAAAGUUGGUACUUACCACAAAUUUUGAUGUUUUCUUUCCGUCUCAUUUAGUGUUUGAUAGAUUUGUAAAUUUAAAUGGUGAUUGUUCUGUCGAUAGAGUCUUAACUCGAUUGGCAUCAGCAUUGUUGUCGGUGCAAUAGGACGUGAAUAGUUCUAGGCAUUGUAUAAAAAAGAACAGAUACUAUAAAAACUUAUGCGAUAUCAUAUUGUAGAAAUAGAUACUAACCUUUUAAAAAUAUUUAAAAAAUAUAAUCAUUUAAAUAAGUUAUUGAACUUAAUUAAUAAUAUUAAAAUUUAUAUUUUUGUAUAAAUAUAUUUAUGUAUAAUUGAGGUAUAUUAGUAUUAUAUAUAAAAAUAUUUAAAAAUCAUUUAUGCUAAAAAAAAUAUUUUAAAAGUGUUGGUGGCUUGAGUUCAAAUAUUACAAUAAGUAAAUUUUAUGAUACCAAAAAAAAUACUCAUCAAUUAUAUAAAGUAUUCUUUAAUAAGCUUCACAAGCAGGGAAGAAGCUAUAAAUUUUUUAGGGGGCGAAAUUAAAUUGUCUAUUUUUACAAUAAUAAAAAUGCAAUUUCACUGUUUUUAAUACCCUAUAUCUUUAUAGUUUUUAAAGUGAAUUAAUUUUUUUAUCAUUUGAGGGUCAAUGUGCAAUUUUACAAUUACCAAUUUAAAAUUUAUAAAUUAUAAAAUGAUCUAAAUGAAAAAAAAUCAUUUUAAGGGGGUCGGAGUAGCCCCUAGCUCCGCCAUUGUUCACAAAUAUAAUACAUUAUUAAACAAACUCAAAAUAAACGGACAAAAAAAUUAUUUUAUAAAUUAAAUAAUAAGAUCAUUCCAUACUAUGCAUAUAACAAUUCAUAAUUUAAGAAAUAAAUAAUAAAUAAUAAAAUACUUAAAUUUCAAUUUAAAAUUAUUUUUUUUUAGUAUGCACAAGUGAAAUUAAGCAGUACACAUUGGUGCAACCGGUAUGUAUUAAAUUUUACACCGGAAUGAAACUUAAAAUUUGUUGCUCUGGUUUACUACCAUGAUAGAAACUUAACCAAGAAUAAAUAAAUUUUGGAUAAACUGUAUAAAUAGUGACCCAACUAUUAGCGAGUUUUUAUUUUCGUCAUUUAGGUUUAAAAUUUUCUAUUUUAGUCACUAAUGUUAUCGAUAUUUAAUAUUUUGGUCUCCCCUUCAUUGAAUCACUAACGGAAUAAUGACAUGAUCUUUUUUAUUGGCAUAAUAACAAAUUUAGCCCUCCAAUGUUUACAGAUUCUAUCAAAUUGGUCUUAAUUCUAAAAUAAUAAAAAAUUAGCCCUCAACUUUACACAUUCUAUCAAUUUAGCCAUGAUUCUUAAAAUUAAAAAAAACAUAUUUAAAAAUUCAUUUUCUAUAAAAAUACACACUAUUUUAUAAAAAUACAUACAAAAUUAUAAAAAAAUGAAUAUCUAUUUUCUCAGUUUAUAAAAUUUGUUUAUUAAAAUGAUAAAUUUAUAAAUAAAAUAAUUUAAGGGGAAAAAACAAGAAGAAUAAUUAAGUAGAUUUAGGUAUUAUGUUUUUUUUUCCCAACAUUAAUGAUCAUCGUGUGCAAGUUGGGUCAAAAACUACAACAUGAGCUUCAAAAGGGUAAGAUUCAAUGCCUUUAGGUAGUUACCUAGAAUGAGUUUAUUGCGAUUGAGGUUGUGCUUAAGGGCGGGAAUGAUUGUAAACAUAAAAGAGGAUAAGGUCUUAGAGAUCAAGUAGGUGGAAGGUUAUGCCAACAACUUGCAACAAUAGAGGAUGUGAAAACUUAGAAGUUAUGAGUAAGUGUUAUUAAUGCUAAUGAUUGUAUGUGAAGACGGUGCUUAGCACUCGAUAAAUUUAAUGAGGACUAGGAAACAAGGCCAAACAUAUAAUAAAUAAAUUAUUAUUUAUAAAAUACAACUAAAAAAGAAAAGAAAAGAAAUGUAUGAAUUUGGUUUAAGAAUUGUUUGUGGGUUUUUUAAGAAAAUUGUUUUAUUUAUAAUAUUAUUAUUUUAAUAAAUAAAUUUUGUGUUAGAAAAAAGAGAAAAAUGAGUAUGUAUUUAUAAUUUUUGUAUGUAUUUUUAUUGAAAAUUGAACUUUUAAUUUUUUUAAAGUUUUUUUAAUUUUUUUGAAUCAAGGAUAAAUUGACAGAAUGUUAGAACUUAUAAAUAUUAGAGGGAUAAAUUUGUUAUUACGUUAAUAAAAAAUAUCACAUCAACACUUCGCUAGUAAUUUAACAAAUAAGUGAAUAAAAUAUGAUAAUAUUAAUAAUUAAAAUAAAUUUUUUAAAACUAAACGAACAAAAAAAAUUCGUUAAUAAUUGUGUGAAUAUUGAUAAAGUUUGCCCACAAAUUCUAUCCAAAUAUUUUAUCCAAAGCACAACUUCAUUUUGUCGGGAACCAACCAAGUAAAACUAAACAAAACAUAAACAAUGCUUCGAGAUUUGAAAUUAACGUUAACUACUAGGCACUAGCCGCCGCCGCCGCCGCCUGCUCCUCCUCCUCUGUCUUACACACCUUUUUCAAUGAACCUGAGGAUGAUUAAUGAGGAGGCUAUUCAACCAAGUCCUAUUUGUUUAAAUCUCAAAAUUUUGUCUGACAAGGUUUUGGCUGGUAUAAACAGAUUAAGCAAGAAAACGAGUUUAUUUAUAAAUAAUAAUAAAAUGGAUAAAGCCUUUAAUUUAAUGUCACUGUCCAAAAUCCAUCUAACCUAAUAAUUAUAUCUACAUUUUUAAUUUUAUUUUUAAUUUUAAAGAGAUUAUUUUUCAAUAAAAGUUGAAUCACUUUUUUUUAAUAAAAAUGUUAACUAAAACAUUUUACAUAACACUAUUUAUUUCAUAAGUUAUGUCAACAAGUGAUUUAAAGUUUAUAAAAAUAUUAAAAAAAGUCAAAAUUUAUAAUGAUUCAAAAAACAACAUGUGCAUAUGAAUUAUUACGUGGGUUGCAUAGUUUAAGUCCCUAAAGUAUAUUGCUUUUUCAGUUUCCACUGAAGUGGGCAAAAAAUAUAUGGACUAAAGUGAGAAAAACAAUAUACUUUAGGGACUUAAAUUGUGCAUUAAACUUAUUAUUAUUAUUUUAGAUACAUAUUCUAUAAUAAUUAAAUUUUUUCUUUCACAAAGUGAAUGUGCAUGUAAUUAAUUUUGAUAGAGUUAUCUAAAUUAUUCUGAUUUGUUAGUUGGACAAUAUAUUUAAUUAUUCAAUGAUGUAUUACGAUAGUAACUUUUUGUAUUAUUACCAUUUUUUUUUUUUUUUGAUGUUCAGAACAGAAGGACUUAAAUCUCCUAAAUGCAACCAAGUCUUUUGAGAGAUUGACCCGACCCACGUUAAUGCCUGUCAGCUCCUAAACUGUAGUUGGUUAAAAUAUGCCAUUAAUAUCUGUAUUUGAGAAAAAUUGAUAUUUAGUCCUCUCGAGUUUAUCAAUAAAUUUUUUUAUUUAUUCUGUAAAAGUUUCGAUUUACGAUUUAAAAACCAUAGUACAAUCAUUGAUAUUUUAGGUAAUUUUUAUCAAAAUUUAUUAAUUUGAUAUGUUAAUUAGACUGCUUUCAUGAGACAUAUGAUUAAUAAAAUUGAAAAUACAACGCUCUUAAUGACUGGACUUGAAAUUUUAAACUAAGAAAGAAAGAGAAUUUAAUUUUUAACUUUAAAAGUAAAGGGACUAAGUUUUAUUUUCUGUAAAAGUAGAAGGACUAAAAACAGAUUUUGACCAUAGUAAUUUUACAUCGCACGUUGCUUCUUGGUUGCAUCGCGGAAGCUCCUGUUGAAUAGUCAGAAAAUUCAACUUGCCUUAGAUCCCUUAUAAAUACCUUUCCACUCCCCCCUUCCACUCUCAAGUGAGAGAACUAAGAAUCUCCAAUUCAAACCCACAACUAAAAAAAAUCCUUAUCUUCUCAUUUUCUCUCUUGUUUUCAGUUUUUGGAUAUGGAAAGUAGCAGUGAAGUGUCGAGCAGGCUUCAAUAUAUUGAACAAUAUUUACUUGAUGAAAAUCAAUUUCCUCCUGUGGGAUUGUGGAGCUUUUUAAAUGAAAAUCAAUGGACAAAUUAUCCGAAAUCCGAGGUUUCCACCUCUCAAUCUCACUCUCUUUACUCUCAAACUUCCACCUCUGAUUCCUGUCUUACAGCAUCCAAUUUUAAUAGCCUUGACGAAGAUGAUUUCUUCAACUUCUCUACCAGUUUCCCAGGUUUCGAGUCUAACCAUAGUGAUGUUUUCGAAUUUGACUCCAAACCUCAAUUUAUCCAUCUCACCACGCCUAAGCCUCUCACUUCCGACGCCACUGCUUGUGAAUUCCAAGUGAAAUCUCGAUCUUCUUCGAAUUCGACUUCCAAUUCUCAGAGUCGAAAACCUUCGCUGAAAAUCUCGUUGCCGCAUAAAGUGGAGUGGAUUCAGUUCGGCAAACCGGAUUUAACCGAGGUAAAGCCGAAGAAUUCAAAUACCGAAGAGAGAAGUAAGCAUUACAGAGGAGUCCGACAAAGGCCGUGGGGAAAGUUCGCAGCCGAGAUCCGAGAUCCUAACCGAAAAGGUUCACGGGUCUGGUUGGGAACUUUUGACACCGCCAUAGAAGCCGCAAAGGCUUACGACCGAGCCGCCUUUAAGUUACGUGGCUCAAAAGCGAUUCUUAACUUCCCUCUCGAAGCUGGGAAGUUGGAUGUAAUCGCCGCUGACGGAGAGAGGAAACGGAGCAGAGACGACGGCGCUGGGGAUGAGAGAGAAGUUAAAGCCGUGAAGAGAGUAAAUGAUGAUGUGACUAAAGCGAGAGAUAACGGCGAUGCGCCUUUAACGCCGUCAAAUUGGACA
This 6814-nucleotide long non-coding RNA is filed under the name Gossypium raimondii (Peruvian cotton). RNAcentral's name for it is "long non-coding RNA (GRAI_LNC006774)". Lineage: Eukaryota; Viridiplantae; Streptophyta; Magnoliopsida; Malvales; Malvaceae. The record is from RNAcentral.